CGGUUGUGUCGCCAGACGCAUUGCCGGGUAGCUAAGUGCGGAAGAGAUAAGUGCUGAAAGCAUCUAAGCACGAAACUUGCCAAGAGAUGAGUUCUCCCUGUCUUUAAGACAGUAAGGGUUGUUUAAGACUAAGACGUAGAUAGGUCUGGUGUGUAAGCGGUGUGAGCCGUUGAGCUAACAGAUACUAAUUGCCCGAGAGGCUUAACUAU
This 209-nucleotide ribosomal RNA is filed under the name Parahaemophilus parainfluenzae. RNAcentral describes it as "Haemophilus parainfluenzae partial 23S ribosomal RNA". It matches the Rfam family "Bacterial large subunit ribosomal RNA", at positions 2718 to 2925 of the family's 2925-position model. Lineage: Bacteria; Pseudomonadati; Pseudomonadota; Gammaproteobacteria; Pasteurellales; Pasteurellaceae. The record is from RNAcentral.